This 253-nucleotide ribosomal RNA is filed under the name uncultured bacterium. RNAcentral's name for it is "partial 16S ribosomal RNA". It matches the Rfam family "Bacterial small subunit ribosomal RNA", at positions 524 to 776 of the family's 1533-position model. The record is from RNAcentral.
UACGGGGGGGGCAAGCGUUGUUCGGAAUUACUGGGCGUAAAGGGCGCGUAGGCGGCCUGCUAAGUCGGACGUGAAAUCCCUCGGCUCAACCGAGGAACUGCGUCCGAUACUGGUGGGCUUGAAUCCGGGAGAGGGAUGUGGAAUUCCAGGUGUAGCGGUGAAAUGCGUAGAUAUCUGGAGGAACACCGGUGGCGAAGGCGGCAUCCUGGACCGGUAUUGACGCUGAGGCGCGAAAGCUAGGGUAGCAAACGGG